UCUCUGUUAGUAUAUCGGUUAGUACACGCGCCUGUCACUGUGUUUCCGCCGGUCGCGCGAAAGCUGGGUUCGACUCCCAGACAGAGAG
Coprinopsis cinerea okayama7#130 is the source of this 88-nucleotide non-coding RNA. NCBI's taxonomy places the organism in Eukaryota, Fungi, Basidiomycota, Agaricomycetes, Agaricales, Psathyrellaceae. The record is from the annotation of a RefSeq genome assembly.